GAUGAACGCUGGCGGCGUGCCUAAUACAUGCAAGUCGAGCGAACGGACGAGACGCUUGCUUCUCUGAUGUUAGCGGCGGACGGGUGAGUCACACGUGGAUAACCUACCUAUAAGACUGGGAUCACUUCGGGAAACCGGAGCUAAUACCGGAUAAUAUUUUGAACCGCAUGGUUCAAAAGUGAAAGACGGUCUUGCUGUCACUUAUAGAUGGAUCCGCGCUGCAUUAGCUAGUUGGUAAGGUAACGGCUUACCAAGGCAACGAUGCAUAGCCGACCUGAGAGAGUGAUCGGCCACACUGGAACUGAGACACGGUCCAGACUCCUACGGGAGGCAGCAGUAGGGAAUCUUCCGCAAUGGGCGAAAGCCUGACGGAGCAACGCCGCGUGAGUGAUGAAGGUCUUCGGAUCGUAAAACUCGGUUAUUAGGGAAGAACAUAUGUGUAAGUAAAUGUGCACAUCUUGACGGUACCUAAUCAGAAAGCCACGGCUAACUACGUG
This 497-nucleotide ribosomal RNA is filed under the name uncultured bacterium. RNAcentral describes it as "partial 16S ribosomal RNA". It matches the Rfam family "Bacterial small subunit ribosomal RNA", at positions 28 to 507 of the family's 1533-position model. The record is from RNAcentral.